UUGUUGGUUUCUCCCUUCUGACGAACCAUGAUGUCAUUUAUUUGGUGUUAUGGGGAAUCAGGACUGUUACUUUGAAAAAAUUAGAGUGUUUAAAGCAGGCUCACGCUUGAAUACAUUAGCAUGGAAUAAUGAAAUAGGACGUUUGAUUCUAUUUUGUUGGUUUCUAGGAUCGACGUAAUGAUUAAUAGGGAUAGUUGGGGGCAUUAGUAUUCAAUUGUCAGAGGUGAAAUUCUUGGAUUUAUUGAAGACUAACUACUGCGAAAGCAUUUGCCAAGGAUGUUUUCAUUAAUCAAGAACGAAAGUUAGGGGAUCGAAGACGAUCAGAUACCGUCGUAGUCUUAACCAUAAACUAUGCCGACUAGGGAUCGGAUGAUGUUAAUUUUUUAAUGACUCAUUCGGCGCCUUACG
This 408-nucleotide ribosomal RNA is filed under the name uncultured Glomeromycotina. RNAcentral's name for it is "SSU rRNA". It matches the Rfam family "Eukaryotic small subunit ribosomal RNA", at positions 686 to 1092 of the family's 1831-position model. The record is from RNAcentral. Lineage: Eukaryota; Fungi; Glomeromycota.